This is a small nuclear RNA of Cheilinus undulatus (humphead wrasse), 183 nucleotides long. RefSeq annotates it as U2 spliceosomal RNA. The record is from RefSeq and is a predicted model, not a curated record. Lineage: Eukaryota; Metazoa; Chordata; Actinopteri; Labriformes; Labridae. The transcript has a single exon.
AACUUUUAUCCCCUUGGGUAAUUGUAUGAUUGUUUUGAUUUAAGUGACAAUAAACUUUUCUCCCCUACCUGGGGACCACAUAUUAAAUUGAUUUUUGAACCUGGGAGAUGAAAGAGGGGCUUGCUCUGUCCACACCAUGCAUUGCCCCGGUGUUGCAGUACCUCCAGGACUGGUGCACUGUUC